UACGUAGGGGGCAAGCGUUGUCCGGAUUUAUUGGGCGUAAAGAGCGUGUAGGCGGCCAGGUAGGUCAGCUGUGAAAACUCGAGGCUCAACCUCGAGACGCCGGUUGAAACCAUCUGGCUAGAGUCCGGAAGAGGAGAGUGGAAUUCCUGGUGUAGCAGUGAAAUGCGCAGAUAUCAGGAAGAACACCCGUGGCUAAGGCGGCUCUCUAGUACGGUACUGACGCUGAGACGCGAAAGCGUGGGGAGCGAACAGG
This 253-nucleotide ribosomal RNA is filed under the name uncultured bacterium. RNAcentral's name for it is "partial 16S ribosomal RNA". It matches the Rfam family "Bacterial small subunit ribosomal RNA", at positions 524 to 776 of the family's 1533-position model. The record is from RNAcentral.